UACGUAGGGUGCGAGCGUUAAUCGGAAUUACUGGGCGUAAAGGGCGCGUAGGCGGCGCGACAAGUCACUUGUGAAAUCUCUGGGCUCAACCCAGAACGGUCAAGUGAUACUGUCGUGCUAGAGUGCGGAAGGGGCAACUGGAAUUCUUGGUGUAGCGGUGAAAUGCGUAGAUAUCAAGAGGAACACCUGCGGCGAAGGCGGGUUGCUGGGCCGACACUGACGCUGAGGCGCGAAAGCUAGGGGAGCGAACGGG
RNAcentral lists this ribosomal RNA (253 nucleotides) under uncultured bacterium. RNAcentral's name for it is "partial 16S ribosomal RNA". It matches the Rfam family "Bacterial small subunit ribosomal RNA", at positions 524 to 776 of the family's 1533-position model. The record is from RNAcentral.